This 496-nucleotide ribosomal RNA is filed under the name uncultured bacterium. RNAcentral's name for it is "partial 16S ribosomal RNA". It matches the Rfam family "Bacterial small subunit ribosomal RNA", at positions 28 to 506 of the family's 1533-position model. The record is from RNAcentral.
GAUGAACGCUGGCGGCGUGCCUAAUACAUGCAAGUCGAGCGAACGGACGAGAAGCUUGCUUCUCUGAUGUUAGCGGCGGACGGGUGAGUAACACGUGGAUAACCUACCUAUAAGACUGGGAUAACUUCGGGAAACCGGAGCUAAUACCGGAUAAUAUUUUGAACCGCAUGGUUCAAAAGUGAAAGACGGUCUUGCUGUCACUUAUAGAUGGAUCCGCGCUGCAUUAGCUAGUUGGUAAGGUAACGGCUUACCAAGGCAACGAUGCAUAGCCGACCUGAGAGGGUGAUCGGCCACACUGGAACUGAGACACGGUCCAGACGCCUACGGGAGGCAGCAGUAGGGAAUCUUCCGCAGUGGGCGAAAGCCUGACGGAGCAACGCCGCGUGAGUGAUGAAGGUCUUCGGAUCGUAAAACUCUGUUAUUAGGGAAGAACAUAUGUGUAAGUAACUGUGCACAUCUUGACGGUACCUAAUCAGAAAGCCACGGCUAACUACGU